CCGGGGCACGCAGGGGAAGGCAGCAGCGGCUGCUAGAGAAGCGAGGGUGCCGUGUUUUCCUCUAGUGUCAGUUUAACAGAGCUCAGAUGUCGGCCCUCGGGGGGUAAUGGUCUCCUCCUGACUCGCUGGGCGCUGGUGCACAGGAAUGGGUGCAGUGCCUCUGUGUGGUUUUCUCCUCUUUUCAAUGUGCCUCUCCAAGGAUCUCCUCUCUGACCGACAUCCCAAUAUUGCCUCCUGCAGCCCAUGCAAUGGGAAAAUCCUUUUUCAGACCCCACCUAUAAAUCCAAGCCUUCCUUUUUUUUUGAUGUUACUGGGCUAUUGCCCUUUUGUUGUUACAUUCUGAAUAACUACAACGAGCUUUGUUGUGGCACAUGGGAGUGUUCCUCAUGGAUAUGCAGAUUAAGGAAGCAUAUCCAUAUGGGUCUUCAUAGCAGAAGUUGCGUUAAAUGUAAAUCUGCAUCAUAAUAGUCUGUUAUGCUGAUUUUAAAGAUUUUUGCCUUUCAGAUUCUACACAUGGCUUUGAAGAAGGAAAGCGGCAUGUGAAAGAGACCUGGCUCCUGCUCUCCAUGUGCCGCAGGCAUUGGCUCCAUGUCUCCAGCAACGAAGUUCAGCGCCAUGUUUCACAUCUCAAUGACCUCAACUCUUUGUGUCUUUUAAACCCACAUGUUUUCUUGAGAAGUUUUAUCCUGUUUAAUACCGAAGUUCAUUAGGAACUCUUUAAACUCUC
Pezoporus flaviventris is the source of this 727-nucleotide long non-coding RNA. RefSeq lists it as uncharacterized. The transcript has 2 exons. Lineage: Eukaryota; Metazoa; Chordata; Aves; Psittaciformes; Psittacidae. The record is from RefSeq and is a predicted model, not a curated record.